UCGAACCCUGCAAAGCAGAACGACCCGUGAACACGUAAAAACAACUGAGCGUCGAGUGGAUUAAGCAUUUGUUUGAUCCUCUCGAUGCUUUGUCGAUGUGCAUUUACUUGUGUUCUUUUUAGGACCUGGUGAAUGUGUCAUUGACGCAAUAACAACCCCCGGCACAAUGUGUGCCAAGGAAAACUAAACUUGAGAAGGCUUGUUUCAUGUUGCCCCGUNGGUGNGCUCAUGGAAUGUGGCUUCUUUUUAAAUCGCGUCGCCCCCAACAAAUAUCUGUUGGGGCGGAUAUUGGUCUCCCGUGCCCAUGGUGUGGUUGGCCAAAAUAAGAGUCCCUUCGAUGGACACACGAACUAGUGGUGGUCGUAAAAACCCUCGUUCUUUGUUCUGUGUUAGUCGCAAGGAAAAACUCUUCAAAUACCCCAACGNGUUGUCUUAGGAUGACGCUUCGACCG
Molecule: ribosomal RNA, 452 nt
Filed under: Achillea millefolium
Lineage: Eukaryota; Viridiplantae; Streptophyta; Magnoliopsida; Asterales; Asteraceae
Description: partial internal transcribed spacer
Source: RNAcentral